GCCACAUCCUGCCUUUGGAUUCACCUGGGGCAGAGGACCUGAUGGGGUGUCAGACCCUGGAGUCCAACUGCCAGGAAAGAGAGAGCCGAGCCGUGUACCAUGUGACACUGUGCCCCAGGCAAGAUUACAGUGUAUUUCCUGAGCUCUCCUUUGCUUUUCUUAAGAUAUUUCUCCCACCCCUCCGUGCAAUAUUCACUUUCAGCUAUGACCUAAAACUGGAUUCCAUACAGAUACUGUUUGCAAAGGUGUGAUUUCC
Molecule: long non-coding RNA, 256 nt
Organism: Budorcas taxicolor (takin)
Lineage: Eukaryota; Metazoa; Chordata; Mammalia; Artiodactyla; Bovidae
Exons: 3
Source: RefSeq, a predicted model, not a curated record